UGGGGAAUAUUGCACAAUGGGCGCAAGCCUGAUGCAGCCAUGCCGCGUGUAUGAAGAAGGCCUUCGGGUUGUAAAGUACUUUCAGCGGGGAGGAAGGGAGUAAAGUUAAUACCUUUGCUCAUUGACGUUACCCGCAGAAGAAGCACCGGCUAACUCCGUGCCAGCAGCCGCGGUAAUACGUAGGUGGCAAGCGUUGUCCGGAUUUAUUGGGCGUAAAGCGAGCGCAGGCGGUUUCUUAAGUCUGAUGUGAAAGCCCCCGGCUCAACCGGGGAGGGUCAUUGGAAACUGGGAGACUUGAGUGCAGAAGAGGAGAGUGGAAUUCCAUGUGUAGCGAUGAAAUGCGUAGAUAUAUGGAGGAACACCAGUGGCGAAGGCGGCUCUCUGGUCUGUAACUGACGCUGAGGCUCGAAAGCGUGGGGAGCAAACAGG
RNAcentral lists this ribosomal RNA (429 nucleotides) under Chloroflexota bacterium. RNAcentral's name for it is "Chloroflexi bacterium partial 16S ribosomal RNA". It matches the Rfam family "Bacterial small subunit ribosomal RNA", at positions 355 to 776 of the family's 1533-position model. Lineage: Bacteria; Bacillati; Chloroflexota. The record is from RNAcentral.